This 807-nucleotide ribosomal RNA is filed under the name uncultured bacterium. RNAcentral describes it as "bacterial SSU rRNA". It matches the Rfam family "Bacterial small subunit ribosomal RNA", at positions 663 to 1472 of the family's 1533-position model. The record is from RNAcentral.
GGAAUUUCUGGUGUAGGGGUAAAAUCCGUAGAGAUCAGAAGGAAUACCGAUUGCGAAGGCGAUCUACUGGAACAUUACCGACGCUGAGAUGCGAAAGCGUGGGGAGCAAACAGGAUUAGAUACCCUGGUAGUCCACGCCCUAAACGAUGCACACUAGUUGUUGCUAUGCUAGACAUAGCAGUAAUGCAGUUAACACAGUAAGUGUGCCGCCUGGGGAGUACGGUCGCAAGAUUAAAACUCAAAGGAAUAGACGGGGACCCGCACAAGCGGUGGAGCAUGUGGUUUAAUUCGACGAUACGCGAAGAACCUUACCUGGCCUUGACAUAGAAAGAACUUUCCAGAGACGGAUUGGUGCUAGUUUACUAGAGCUUUCAUACAGGUGCUGCACGGCUGUCGUCAGCUCGUGUCGUGAGAUGUUGGGUUAAGUCCCGCAACGAGCGCAACCCUCGUGUUUAGUUACUAACAGUUCGGCUGAGGACUCUAAACAGACUGCCUGGGUAACCAGGAGGAAGGUGAGGACGACGUCAAGUCAUCAUGGCCCUUACGGCCAGGGCUACACACGUGCUACAAUGGGGUAUACAAAGAGCUGCAAUACGGUGACGUGGAGCAAAUCUCAUAAAAUAUCUCCCAGUUCGGAUUGAAGUCUGCAACUCGACUUCAUGAAGUUGGAAUCGCUAGUAAUCGUAGAUCAGCAAUGCUACGGUGAAUACGUUCCCGGGUCUUGUACUCACCGCCCGUCACACCAUGGGAAUUGAAUUCAUUCGAAGCGGGGAUGCUAAAAUAGCUACCUUCCACAGUGGAUUUAGU